UAUACUUUAGUGUUUUAGCAUAAAAAUUUUUGAAAUUUUUGGUAAUAAUAAUAUUAUUAAGUAUAA
Molecule: transfer RNA, 66 nt
Filed under: Antodynerus aff. limbatus GX
Lineage: Eukaryota; Metazoa; Arthropoda; Insecta; Hymenoptera; Vespidae
Also listed under: 2 other names
Description: tRNA-Gln
Source: RNAcentral